Long non-coding RNA from Glossina fuscipes, 1288 nucleotides. RefSeq lists it as uncharacterized. Lineage: Eukaryota; Metazoa; Arthropoda; Insecta; Diptera; Glossinidae. The transcript has 3 exons. The record is from RefSeq and is a predicted model, not a curated record.
UAUAUUUUUUUUUAUAUUUUAUUAACUACUUAUACCGCACCAUACGUGUUUUAAAGUAUUUAUAAUGAAAUAAAAAAUAGUAAAAAAAAGAAAAAGUCUUCAAGCAAAAUAUGGAUAUCCUCUACCUUAAGUAUAACGUACAUAAAAAUGUUGCAAUUUUUUUUAAUAAUGAUAAGCGUGUCAUUGAUGCGAUUAUGGCUCUGGUUAAUAAUUGACCCAAGGCGUUUGAACAAAAAUGUGCUUAUCCUGUAGGUCACUAGGCUUUCUUGAUCGUAUUCUCGGACCAUGGUUACGCAUCGUACAAGAAAUUUUCUUAUUGUUAGGGAAACAUGAACGGACGGACUUAGCUUAGCUUUAUUGAUUUGCAAUGUUUCUGCUCUGACGCAGAUUUUUUAAAACGUUACGAAAGGAAUAACAAAACUUAUAUACCUUCUCUCCCUCGGCGAAGAAGAAAUAAUGAAUGAAAUGCAGAUAAUAUCAUCGAAAUCAGCAUCAGCAAAGUCUGUGCGGCGAGAACAACUGGCUAUCAACGGGGAAUCCACGAGAAGCCCUACUAUGUAGGUGCCAUCAGACGAAUGAUCGAUUGAAACUAAUGUUAUUCAGAGCGGAUAAUGCCUAUCCAUGAAAGCGGGGCAAGCGAGGCAUCUUCCAGGCUACUUUUGUAAAAGACUUGCUCGAUAGAAGUGAGGAAAGAGGAACGACAGAUAGUAACUUGGUGGCCGCAGUGUAAUGAGUGCUCUGGGUGGGCGACUUGGGUCCUCUCUAUAGCUACGAUUUAAUUUAAGUCUACUGACUUUGAAUAUCGUAACGCAUUGUCUAACUAUUCAACAGCACUGUGCUUCGAACUAAUCAGAAAGAGUAAAGUUUUCCGCGUAUGAUAUUCUUUAUCGCACAAAACUGGCGAUCUUUCUUGUUGCAGAAAAUAUUUUUGCAAUGAGAUGAUUGUUAGCAAAUGGAGCUGUCCAAGCUUUUAAAAAAAAAGUAGAUGACUUCAAAAAUGUAUGCUCAAACUAUAUGCUAUUACCGCUAUCCAUAUGCGAAACCCGGAAAUUGAAUUGCGCAACUAAUAGCAUCCUAUAGUACCCGGUACGCUAUCUUUUGAAAUGAAACCACAGAGAGAAUUUCAUUAACGUCUCAAUCAGAUAGAUAUAGGAAGUCUUUGCAAACUUAUAAUAGAUUGUUCGCGCUGCCUGCCGUAACGUACGCAUCAGAGUUCUGCUGAAAGUACACCAAAUAUGGUUUAAAUUGCAUUGAAAAAAUUUAAGAACGCUUAAGUAAGUGAAACAAA